Gallus gallus (chicken) is the source of this 980-nucleotide long non-coding RNA. RefSeq lists it as uncharacterized. Lineage: Eukaryota; Metazoa; Chordata; Aves; Galliformes; Phasianidae. The transcript has 2 exons. The record is from RefSeq and is a predicted model, not a curated record.
GGGGAGAGUGCAGGCGCUGAGGGGAGCGGUGGAUGCAUUCCCUUCUCUGUGCUUUCGUAGGGCGUUGGUAUCGGUGAGACCUGUCUGCGAGUGCUCAGGGGUCCCUCUAGGCACCCGAGAGCGGCAGCUACCCCUUUACAGGGCCGCUUUGUUCAUACCCGAGUCCUUUGUCCCGGCGAUGGUCGGUCCGGCGCAGCCCAGUGUGAGGGCGGCCGGGGUUCGUGUGUGCAGCUGGUGCAUCUCGUUAGGAGGCGAGCGUAACCGCGAGUGCCACAAUUACCCGUGGUUUCCUAGCUUCUGAAGCUCGCUGUGAUCGCUCGUGUGAAGCCAGGUUUGUCUGCACACGGGCAGGCACGUUGAGGAUUCAGUUCCCGGUCUUUUUUUCUUCAGAGAUGUGCUGCCACCCGCAGUUCCUGCCCUCACCUUCCCUGCCGGCUGUACGUUCCCACCUCACAGCUCUGCCAGUGCAGCUGUUUUCAUGGAAAACCACUGGAAAACGUCUGGAUAACGGCAUAGAGAAUUCUAUUCCAGCUCUGCUCAAUUCUGUGGGAGGCUGCAGUUUGCUAAAUAUAUUAGGAAACACCAGGUGUUUGACUUCUUAUCUGAUGGUUUAACAAAUGAGCAUCCUUCCUUCGCUGAUCCUGUUCUCUCUCCAGAUGGACUGUAGGUAGGAGCCAGUCAUGAUCUAUUUGGAACCCAGAGGCUCAGUUUCCCUGGUGACACAUGGAGUUUGCAAGCUAGCUGCAGAAAUAGCACACUUCUGUGCCCAGGUUUUUCAUAGAUUUGAAAAGCUGGAGAUUUUUGUCGAGAGCCCAGGCUGCUAGGAGAAUUCAAUCCCAGCAGCAGGAAAGUAUGGCCUUUCUGUGUAGUGUUUCACAGACUUCAAAUAAACAAGCCAGAUGGUAAAAGUGCAAUGGUAAAAGUAAUCAUUUUUAGACUCCUGCCAGACCAUUGUUUAAAAAAAAAAGAAAAGCUGCCUU